This 401-nucleotide ribosomal RNA is filed under the name Staphylococcus aureus. RNAcentral's name for it is "bacterial SSU rRNA". It matches the Rfam family "Bacterial small subunit ribosomal RNA", at positions 537 to 936 of the family's 1533-position model. The record is from RNAcentral. Lineage: Bacteria; Bacillati; Bacillota; Bacilli; Caryophanales; Staphylococcaceae.
AGCGUUAUCCGGAAUUAUUGGGCGUAAAGCGCGCGUAGGCGGUUUUUUAAGUCUGAUGUGAAAGCCCACGGCUCAACCGUGGAGGGUCAUUGGAAACUGGAAAACUUGAGUGCAGAAGAGGAAAGUGGAAUUCCAUGUGUAGCGGUGAAAUGCGCAGAGAUAUGGAGGAACACCAGUGGCGAAGGCGACUUUCUGGUCUGUAACUGACGCUGAUGUGCGAAAGCGUGGGGAUCAAACAGGAUUAGAUACCCUGGUAGUCCACGCCGUAAACGAUGAGUGCUAAGUGUUAGGGGGUUUCCGCCCCUUAGUGCUGCAGCUAACGCAUUAAGCACUCCGCCUGGGGAGUACGACCGCAAGGUUGAAACUCAAAGGAAUUGACGGGGACCCGCACAAGCGGUGGA